GCCGUAUUAGCUAGUUGGUAAGGUAACGGCUUACCAAGGCGAACGAUACGUAGCCGACCUGAGAGGGUGAUCGGCCACACUGGAACUGAGACACGGUCCAGACUCCUACGGGAGGCAGCAGUAGGGAAUCUUCCGCAAUGGGCGAAAGCCUGACGGAGCAACGCCGCGUGAGUGAUGAAGGGUUUCGGCUCGUAAAACUCUGUUAUUAGGGAAGAACAAACGUGUAAGUAACUGUGCACGUCUUGACGGUACCUAAUCAGAAAGCCACGGCUAACUACGUGCCAGCAGCCGCGGUAAUACGUAGGUGGCAAGCGUUAUCCGGAAUUAUUGGGCGUAAAGCGCGCGUAGGCGGUUUCUUAAGUCUGAUGUGAAAGCCCACGGCUCAACCGUGGAGGGUCAUUGGAAACUGGGAAACUUGAGUGCAGAAGAGGAAAGUGGAAUUCCAUGUGUAGCGGUGAAAUGCGCAGAGAUAUGGAGGAACACCAGUGGCGAAGGCGACUUUCUGGUCUGUAACUGACGCUGAUGUGCGAAAGCGUGGGGAUCAAACAGGAUUAGAUACCCUGGUAGUCCACGCCGUAAACGAUGAGUGCUAAGUGUUAGGGGGUUUCCGCCCCUUAGUGCUGCAGCUAACGCAUUAAGCACUCCGC
RNAcentral lists this ribosomal RNA (647 nucleotides) under Staphylococcus saprophyticus. RNAcentral describes it as "bacterial SSU rRNA". It matches the Rfam family "Bacterial small subunit ribosomal RNA", at positions 235 to 872 of the family's 1533-position model. Lineage: Bacteria; Bacillati; Bacillota; Bacilli; Caryophanales; Staphylococcaceae. The record is from RNAcentral.